This 393-nucleotide ribosomal RNA is filed under the name uncultured bacterium. RNAcentral describes it as "partial 16S ribosomal RNA". It matches the Rfam family "Bacterial small subunit ribosomal RNA", at positions 523 to 918 of the family's 1533-position model. The record is from RNAcentral.
AUACGGAGGAUGCAAGCGUUAUCCGGAUUUAUUGGGUUUAAAGGGUGCGUAGGCGGUUUGCUAAGCGGGAGGUGAAAUGCCGGCGCUCAACGUCGGAAGUGCCUCCCGAACUGGUGGACUGGAAUGACUCUGCCGUGGGAGGAAUGUGUAGUGUAGCGGUGAAAUGCUUAGAGAUUACACAGAACACCGAUUGCGAAGGCAUCUCACGAAGGGUUGAUUGACGCUGAGGCACGAAAGCGUGGGGAUCAAACAGGAUUAGAUACCCUGGUAGUCCACGCAGUAAACGAUGAUGGCUAACCGCUGGUUUAUUCGGAUCAGUGGCCAAGCGAAAGCGAUAAGCCAUCCACCUGGGGAGUACGACCGCAAGGUUGAAACUCAAAUGAAUUGACGGGG